UGUAUUGCCGCAAUAGUGCUCGAUUGUUCAGUGUCAUUUUUUCUAUGUGUAAAAUUUUGACAUUGUUGGUCUCACUUUGUUUCUUGUUUGAUUGUCAAUUUGAAUUCUGGGGUUUGUGUUCAUUUUUUUUAAUUAGAUGAUUUUGAUUGUGGAACUUUAUUGAUUUAUAUGUAUGGUGGUUGAGUAUACCCUUUUUUAGAUUCUGAAUUUAGCUUUGAUUGUUCAAUCUGUGAGAUAUAGGGGUGUGAUCCGACUUAAAAUUCUUAGUUCCUUUCUUUGAAAGUAUAGGGGUGUGAUUCUGAAAGUAUGAUUCUGAAAGUGAGAUAUAGGGGUGUGAUUCUGAAAGUAUAAAACUUGGUUUGAUUUGAGUGUGGUUUUUGGAUGAACCGUUGUUGGGCAUGGCAUUUUUUCUCUUCCUCUUCGAUUUCAUUUGGUUAUGCCUCUAAACUUCUAUCUCUUUCUUUUCUACGUUCUUCUAUUUUUUAUAUUUUUCCUUUUCUAGGUGGCUAUUUGUCACUAAAGAUGACAUUAAAGGCUUACCUUGCUUCCAGAUGAUCACUUUGAACUCCAGCAACUAGCUAAAGAACUUUAGCUGCAUCACAAACUUUUUCUUCGAUGCUGGACUAUGUGGGUGUGCACGAGGCCAUUCGUGGGUUCAAUUGGAGUCAAGAGACUCGAGAUCUUGUAGCCUCUUUCUUUGAAAGCAGCUGAACGGAGCUAAUGAUUAGGUUCCCAUAUGGAGUUACCACUGCAGGUUCUCCAACGUGUGAAGCCACUCAACCAAAUUCCAUUGGUUGGCCCUCUGUUUAUAC
Molecule: non-coding RNA, 812 nt
Organism: Camellia sinensis
Lineage: Eukaryota; Viridiplantae; Streptophyta; Magnoliopsida; Ericales; Theaceae
Source: RefSeq, a predicted model, not a curated record